Molecule: ribosomal RNA, 300 nt
Filed under: Triticum aestivum (bread wheat)
Lineage: Eukaryota; Viridiplantae; Streptophyta; Magnoliopsida; Poales; Poaceae
Description: partial small subunit ribosomal RNA
Source: RNAcentral
AUGUCACGGAACUCGGCGUUGAAGAGCGUGUCGAGCUCCACGGCGAAGAUGUGGUCGCUCCGGUUUCCGCCGUCGGUGUCGUUGAGGAGGCCCAGGAACUGGCCUGGCAUCGCCGUGGAGAGCAGCUCCCUGGACGCGGAGACGAAGAAGGCCAUGCCGUGGCUGCUCAGGUCCGCGUACUGCCCGAAAAUGGCGAAGACGAAAGUGGUCGAGAAGGACCGCGCGGCGCCGGUGCCGUUCGCCUCCCCGUCGCCGCGGAACGGCAGGGGGGACGGGUGGAAGGCCUGGCCUUUCGUCUGA